UACGAAGGGGGGCUAGCGUUGUUCGGAAUUACUGGGCGUAAAGCGCGCGCAGGCGGUCUUCCAAGUCAGUGGUGAAAUCCCAGAGCUCAACUCUGGAACUGCCUUUGAUACUGUCGAUCUAGAGUAUGGAAGAGGUGAGUGGAAUUCCGAGUGUAGAGGUGAAAUUCGUAGAUAUUCGGAGGAACACCAGUGGCGAAGGCGGCUCACUGGUCCAUUACUGACGCUGAGGUGCGAAAGCGUGGGGAGCAAACAGG
This 254-nucleotide ribosomal RNA is filed under the name uncultured bacterium. Its description in RNAcentral is "partial 16S ribosomal RNA". It matches the Rfam family "Bacterial small subunit ribosomal RNA", at positions 524 to 776 of the family's 1533-position model. The record is from RNAcentral.